RNAcentral lists this ribosomal RNA (357 nucleotides) under Triticum aestivum (bread wheat). RNAcentral's name for it is "partial small subunit ribosomal RNA". Lineage: Eukaryota; Viridiplantae; Streptophyta; Magnoliopsida; Poales; Poaceae. The record is from RNAcentral.
AUGGUUCGAUGGACGGAGAUCUGUAAACCUCGCGACCAGGGCGGACUCGUGAUCAUGUCCUCCAAACGCAUGAACAUUUCCCUCCUGACUCAAUGGUUUUGGCGGAUUGCGAACAGAGAGGGUGGCCUAUGGCUUCGCAUCGUCCAACAGAAAUACCUCUGUGGCCAGCCACUCGCCUUCUGCCAGCGGUCCGAUGGCCCCCAAUUCUGGAAAUCCAUCAUUCAGCUCCUUCGAGUCCUCCACAUCGGGACCUUGAUUGCGGUUGGAUCUGGCACCGCACGCUCUUCUAGUUCGAUAGAUGGGCUAGGGACGUCCCCUUCAUGGCUUGGUUUUCUGACCUAUUCACCAUCGCGGUAG